RNAcentral lists this ribosomal RNA (406 nucleotides) under uncultured bacterium. Its description in RNAcentral is "partial 16S ribosomal RNA". It matches the Rfam family "Bacterial small subunit ribosomal RNA", at positions 30 to 526 of the family's 1533-position model. The record is from RNAcentral.
AUUGAACGCUAGCGGGAUGCUUUACACAUGCAAGUCGAUCGAGUGGCGGCCGGGUGAGUAAUGUCUCGGAACCUGCCCGGUAGCGGGGUAUAACUACUCGAAACAGUGGCUAAUACCGCAUACUAUUGGAUCUGCCCAUAUGGGAUUAGCUAGUAGGUGGGGUAAUGGCUCACCUAGGCGACGAUCCCUAGCUGGUCUGAGAGGAUGACCAGCCACACUGGAACUGAGACACGGUCCAGACUCCUACGGGAGGCAGCAGUGGGGAAUAUUGGAGAAUGUGGGCAACCCUGAUGCAGCCAUGCCGCGUGUGUGAAUAAGGCCUUCGGGUUGUAAAGCACUUUCAGCAGGGAUGCGGUACUGGCAGAAGAAGCACCGGCUAACUACGUGCCAGCAGCCGCGGUAAUAC